Long non-coding RNA from Fundulus heteroclitus (mummichog), 2301 nucleotides. RefSeq lists it as uncharacterized. NCBI's taxonomy places the organism in Eukaryota, Metazoa, Chordata, Actinopteri, Cyprinodontiformes, Fundulidae. The record is from RefSeq and is a predicted model, not a curated record. The transcript is spliced from 5 exons.
CCAUGCAUGCAGCCCGCCCUCCCUCUGGAGACACCAGGACCGGGUGCGCACUGCGCAGCGGAGAGGAGAAGCGUCCUUUCUCUGCUCUAAUCCCUGUCCUCACCACUGCGCUGUCACACCACCGCCUCAUAGGUGACCUGGAACCCGGAGGAUUGCUCGCUGCUCACUUCUUUGGCUUUCUGCAGGAAGAAGACAAGUUGUUGUUGUUGUUUUUUUAACUUUUUGGCAGGUCUGUGGGAACCAGAAAAUAAUAAAAAAAGAGAUUUGCGCGCAGCACCCGCAACGUAUAUAAAUAGGUUGUGUGCGUCAGAAGAUAAACAUUUGAACUAGUUUUCUUUCAUUCACCGCUGUCAGCCACGUCUGACGCGCCAUGUGGACGCUCAGUUGACAAGCAGCACAUGGCGCCUUGUUAUGGACAGAUUUGUGGAGUCCACGUCUAAUGGCUUCUCCGACGUCAGAUUCUUCCACCUGAGUUGCGGUUGUCUGCAGCCCCUCCAUGGACUAUGGACCUCCUGGAUUAAGACUGACUUUUCUCCACCUUUCGAUUAGGGCGAGAUGGCCCGUGAGACGUUCAAAGCUUGAGAUGCAUGGAUCUACGAGGAGGAGAGCUGCCGCGAUUCAUCCCGAGAACACGUUUACUUCCUUGCUUUCGAGAAUCUUCCUCUCAGAUCAGGACUACAUGGUGGAGACUAGCCAGGCUCCCUCUCCCUGCUUUCCCUCCUGCUCUGGGAAUGUGGGAACAGCAGAUGAGUAGAUCUACAGUGGCCACUAAAGGCUGCGGCGCACACUCGCAUGGGAUCCUUCCUAAUGUAGGCCAGGCCGGUCUGAAUGGACGGGAGAAAAAAGCAGCACAACGAGGCCGAGAGCUCAAUGAAGACUACCUGAUGUGUUGCUGAAACCGUGACAUGCGGAUGGAGGCAAUGAUCCAGCCGACCCCCUUCACCCCCAGCGCCGCCGCCGCCGCCGCUCCUCGCUGCAUGUUGCGGAGCAGGUGAGAAGCAUUAACAGAGGCAGCAGCUGUGGCUCUGCGCUCGACACAUGUGGGCCGGGGAUGUUGAGCUGUUGUUGAGUUCAGCCACUCUCUCGGUAAGGUUAACACGCUUGUCUUGCAAACAGAGAAAACGGCUCUAAGAAACAAGAAACCCUACGGAGCAUUUUGCAUGUCACGCCGUUUUCACAACGCCUGGCAGACGUACUCGUUCCUCUUAAAACUUUAACGCUUUUUUCAUGUUACAAACCCAGACAAUGUAAUCUUAUGAGCUUUAGGCCAACACAAAGUCAUGCACUAUUUGUAUUUAUUUAAUUAGUAAAUAGGUCCAGCUGUGUGCCACAAGCCCUGUAGGGGACAUCAUAAACACGUGGUAUGCUGGUCAGGUGAGACCAAUGGUGACCUUUCUGGCCUGGAUAACAAAGCACUGUACGUGGUGGUAAGCUAAUAUUACACAUCUCAAUGAACUCAGCCACUCUGAAUCAUGGUAGUGCGCAGCAUGAUGCUGUGGGGACACCGUUCUUCCACAGGGACUGGGAAUCUGGUCCAGGUUGGUGGUAAGAUAGAAAACACUAUUCACAAGACAAUCCAGGAGCUGGCUCAGAAAGGCUGAAGCGACAAUGAAAUGGUUUAGAUUUUACACGUUUUCAGGUGAGUGGCCUAGUCAAAGUCCAGACCUAAUUUCAACUGAGAAUCUGUAGCAAGACGUAUAAGUUGCUUGCCAAAACACUCUCCAUGCAACCUAGCUGACUAUUGUGCAAAGAAGAAUGGGAGACAAACGUCUGCGUCUAGUUUAACAAAGCCCGGCAGAGACAAACCCCCAAAAGGCUUUGGGUUGUAAUCGAAGAGAACGGUGGCUCUUAAAUACUGGCUCAUGAGGUGGUGUGUGAAAAUGUGUGUCUCACUUUAACAUGUUUGAUUUAGAAUUGAAAACCCUGCAACACUGACCUUCACUGUUAAGCACAACCUUAGGCCUGUUCUUACAGCACAAUGCUCCCACUACCAUGCUUUAAAGUGGAAAUCUUGAGUUCAGAGGGAUGUGUACUUAGCAUUUUUCACUACAUAGGCCUAAAAGUUCAGUUUUGUUCUCACCUAACCAGAGCACGUCCUUCCACAAGUUUGCUAUGUCCCUUAUCUGGCUUGCGGAAUACUACAGUCAUGACUUCCUCUAACUUUAUUUUGAUAUAUUGAUGUAUGUAAAGUGAAAUUCCAAACUUCCUAAUCGUCCAGCAAGGAGAUCUCUGAAUAGGUUUCACUGAAUUGUAUUUAGAGGAAUCUGAGUACGGGCGGCUGAAUAAAAAUGCUUACUUACA